This 253-nucleotide ribosomal RNA is filed under the name uncultured bacterium. RNAcentral describes it as "partial 16S ribosomal RNA". It matches the Rfam family "Bacterial small subunit ribosomal RNA", at positions 524 to 776 of the family's 1533-position model. The record is from RNAcentral.
UACAGAGGGUGCGAGCGUUGUUCGGAAUUACUGGGCGUAAAGCGCACGUAGGCGGCUUUGUAAGUAAGAGGUGAAAGCCCGGAGCUCAACUCCGGAACUGCCUUUUAGACUGCAUCGCUUGAAUCCAGGAGAGGUGAGUGGAAUUCCGAGUGUAGAGGUGAAAUUCGUAGAUAUUCGGAAGAACACCAGUGGCGAAGGCGGCUCACUGGACUGGUAUUGACGCUGAGGUGCGAAAGCGUGGGGAGCAAACAGG